UUAAGCGACUAAGCGUACACGGUGGAUGCCCUGGCAGUCAGAGGCGAUGAAGGACGUGCUAAUCUGCGAAAAGCGUCGGUAAGGUGAUAUGAACCGUUACAGCCGGCGAUGUCCGAAUGGGGAAACCCAGUGCAAUUCGUUGCACUAUCGUUAACUGAAUACAUAGGUUAACGAGGCGAACCGGGGGAACUGAAACAUCUAAGUACCCCGAGGAAAAGAAAUCAACCGAGAUUCCCCCAGUAGCGGCGAGCGAACGGGGAGCAGCCCAGAGUCUGAAUCAGCUUGUGUGUUAGUGGAACGGUCUGGAAAGUCCGACGGUACAGGGUGAUAGUCCCGUACACCAAAAUGCACAGGUUGUGAACUCGAAGAGUAGGGCGGGACACGUGGUAUCCUGUCUGAAUAUGGGGGGACCAUCCUCCAAGGCUAAAUACUCCUGACUGACCGAUAGUGAACCAGUACCGUGAGGGAAAGGCGAAAAGAACCCCGGCGAGGGGAGUGAAAAAGAACCUGAAACCGUGUACGUACAAGCAGUGGGAGCACCUUCGGGUGUGACUGCGUACCUUUUGUAUAAUGGGUCAGCGACUUAUAUUCUGUAGCAAGGUUAACCGUAUAGGGGAGCCGCAGGGAAACCGAGUCUUAACUGGGCGUUAAGUUGCAGGGUAUAGACCCGAAACCCGGUGAUCUAGCCAUGGGCAGGUUGAAGGUUGGGUAACACUAACUGGAGGACCGAACCGACUAAUGUUGAAAAAUUAGCGGAUGACUUGUGGCUGGGGGUGAAAGGCCAAUCAAACCGGGAGAUAGCUGGUUCUCCCCGAAAGCUAUUUAGGUAGCGCCUCGUGAACUCAUCUUCGGGGGUAGAGCACUGUUUCGGCUAGGGGGUCAUCCCGACUUACCAACCCGAUGCAAACUACGAAUACCGAAGAAUGUUAUCACGGGAGACACACGGCGGGUGCUAACGUCCGUCGUGAAGAGGGAAACAACCCAGACCGCCAGCUAAGGUCCCAAAGUCAUGGUUAAGUGGGAAACGAUGUGGGAAGGCACAGACAGCCAGGAUGUUGGCUUAGAAGCAGCCAUCAUUUAAAGAAAGCGUAAUAGCUCACUGGUCGAGUCGGCCUGCGCGGAAGAUGUAACGGGGCUAAACCAUGCACCGAAGCUGCGGCAGCGACACUAUGUGUUGUUGGGUAGGGGAGCGUUCUGUAAGCCUGCGAAGGUGUGCUGUGAGGCAUGCUGGAGGUAUCAGAAGUGCGAAUGCUGACAUAAGUAACGAUAAAGCGGGUGAAAAGCCCGCUCGCCGGAAGACCAAGGGUUCCUGUCCAACGUUAAUCGGGGCAGGGUGAGUCGACCCCUAAGGCGAGGCCGAAAGGCGUAGUCGAUGGGAAACAGGUUAAUAUUCCUGUACUUGGUGUUACUGCGAAGGGGGGACGGAGAAGGCUAUGUUAGCCGGGCGACGGUUGUCCCGGUUUAAGCAUGUAGGCUGGUUAUCCAGGCAAAUCCGGAUAACCAAGGCUGAGGUGUGAUGACGAGGCACUACGGUGCUGAAGUAACAAAUGCCCUGCUUCCAGGAAAAGCCUCUAAGCAUCAGGUAACAUUAAAUCGUACCCCAAACCGACACAGGUGGUCAGGUAGAGAAUACCAAGGCGCUUGAGAGAACUCGGGUGAAGGAACUAGGCAAAAUGGUGCCGUAACUUCGGGAGAAGGCACGCUGGUGUGUAGGUGAAGUCCCUGCGGAUGGAGCUGAGACCAGUCGAAGAUACCAGCUGGCUGCAACUGUUUAUUAAAAACACAGCACUGUGCAAACACGAAAGUGGACGUAUACGGUGUGACGCCUGCCCGGUGCCGGAAGGUUAAUUGAUGGGGUUAUCCGUAAGGAGAAGCUCUUGAUCGAAGCCCCGGUAAACGGCGGCCGUAACUNUUGGUGCCUUCGGGAACUGUGAGACAGGUGCUGCAUGGCUGUCGUCAGCUCGUGUUGUGAAAUGUUGGGUUAAGUCCCGCAACGAGCGCAACCCUUAUCCUUUGUUGCCAGCGGUCCGGCCGGGAACUCAAAGGAGACUGCCAGUGAUAAACUGGAGGAAGGUGGGGAUGACGUCAAGUCAUCAUGGCCCUUACGACCAGGGCUACACACGUGCUACAAUGGCAUAUACAAAGUGAAGCGACCUCGCGAGAGCAAGCGGACCUCAUAAAGUAUGUCGUAGUCCGGAUUGGAGUCUGCAACUCGACUCCAUGAAGUCGGAAUCGCUAGUAAUCGUAGAUCAGAAUGCUACGGUGAAUACGUUCCCGGGCCUUGUACACACCGCCCGUCACACCAUGGGAGUGGGUUGCAAAAGAAGUAGGUAGCUUAACCUUCGGGAGGGCGCUUACCACUUUGUGAUUCAUGACUGGGGUGAAGUCGUAACAAGGUAACCGUAGGGGAACCUGCGGUUGGAUCACCUCCUUACCUUAAAGAACCUGCCUUUGCAGUGCUCACACAGAUUGUCUGAUGAAAAUAGAGCAGUAAGUAAUCUCUGCAGGCUUGUAGCUCAGGUGGUUAGAGCGCACCCCUGAUAAGGGUGAGGUCGGUGGUUCAAGUCCACUCAGGCCUACCAAAUUUGCGAAGCAAAUUUGAAGAGGUUGCAAACGAUGGGGCUAUAGCUCAGCUGGGAGAGCGCCUGCUUUGCACGCAGGAGGUCUGCGGUUCGAUCCCGCAUAGCUCCACCAU
Molecule: ribosomal RNA, 2695 nt
Filed under: Klebsiella pneumoniae
Lineage: Bacteria; Pseudomonadati; Pseudomonadota; Gammaproteobacteria; Enterobacterales; Enterobacteriaceae
Description: bacterial LSU rRNA
Rfam family: Bacterial large subunit ribosomal RNA (bases 1-1989)
Source: RNAcentral